This 293-nucleotide ribosomal RNA is filed under the name uncultured bacterium. RNAcentral's name for it is "partial 16S ribosomal RNA". It matches the Rfam family "Bacterial small subunit ribosomal RNA", at positions 505 to 796 of the family's 1533-position model. The record is from RNAcentral.
GUGUCAGCAGCCGCGGUAACACGUAGGCACCAAGCGUUGUCCGGAUUUAUUGGGCGUAAAGAGCUCGUAGGCGGUUCAGUAAGUCGGGUGUGAAAACUUUGGGCUUAACCCAAAGCGUGCAUCCGAUACUGCUGUGACUUGAGUACGGUAGGGGAGCGGGGAAUUCCUAGUGUAGCGGUGAAAUGCGCAGAUAUUAGGAGGAACACCGGUGGCGAAGGCGCCGCUCUGGGCCGAAACUGACGCUGAGGAGCGAAAGCAUGGGUAGCAAACAGGAUUAGAAACCCCCGUAGUCC